RNAcentral lists this small nuclear RNA (341 nucleotides) under Callipepla squamata (scaled quail). Its description in RNAcentral is "7SK RNA". It matches the Rfam family "7SK RNA". Rfam says of the family: 7SK was discovered as an abundant small nuclear RNA in the mid-70s but a possible function has only recently been suggested. The record is from Rfam by way of RNAcentral. Lineage: Eukaryota; Metazoa; Chordata; Aves; Galliformes; Odontophoridae.
GGAUGUGAUGGCGAUCUGGCUGCGACAUCUGUCACCCUGUUGAUCGCCAGGGUUGAUUCGGCUGAUCUGGCUGGCUAGGCGGGUGUCCCCUUCCUCCCUCACCGCUCCAUGUGCGUCCCUCCCAAAGCUGCGUGCUCAGUCGAAGAGGAUGACCUUCCCCGAUAGAGACGGUACCGUUCAUCUGUCAAGGGUAUAUGGUAGCUGCACUCCCCUGCUAGAACCUCCAAAAAAAGCUAUGAAAACUAUUUGUUUUCUGUCUGCUUUCCUUUUGAUCAGUGAUUACUAUUUUGUAAAGUUUUUGGAAAAUAACAUGCUGUCAAAGACUAUGUCUUUGAUUUGCU